RNAcentral lists this transfer RNA (91 nucleotides) under Leucothrix arctica. RNAcentral describes it as "Leucothrix sp. IMCC9719 tRNA-Ser". It matches the Rfam family "tRNA". From Rfam's summary of the family: Transfer RNA (tRNA) molecules are approximately 80 nucleotides in length. Their secondary structure includes four short double-helical elements and three loops (D, anti-codon, and T loops). The record is from RNAcentral. Lineage: Bacteria; Pseudomonadati; Pseudomonadota; Gammaproteobacteria; Thiotrichales; Thiotrichaceae.
GGAGGGGUGUCCGAGUGGCUUAAGGAGCACGCCUGGAAAGCGUGUAAAGGUUAAUAGCUUUUCGAGGGUUCGAAUCCCUCUCCCUCCGCCA